AUGGGCUCCGGGACGGGGAAGGUGGUGUGCGUCACCGGCGGCUCGGGCUACAUCGCCUCCUGGCUCGUCAAGUUCCUCCUCCAGCGCGGCUACACCGUCCGCGCCACCGUCAGGGACACCGCCGACCCCAAGAAAACAUUGCACCUGCAGGCCCUGGAUGGAGCCAAGGACAGGCUGCACUUGUUCAAAGCAAGCUUGUUGGAAGAAGGCUCUUUCGAUGCUGCCGUUGCCGGCUGCGAUUGUGUCUUCCACACGGCUUCUCCCUUUUAUCACAAUGUCAAGGAUCCCAAGGCUGAGUUACUUGACCCAGCUGUCGAUGGAACGCUCAAUGUUCUCCGUUCCUGCAAGAAAGCCUCUAUCAAGAGAGUGAUCGUAACCUCAUCCAUGGCUGCUGUUGCCUACAAUGGGAAGCCAAGGACUCCUGAUGUAGUGGUUGACGAGACAUGGUUUUCAAGUGCAGAAGUCUGCGAAAAGAAUAAGCAAUGGUAUGUGCUAUCCAAGACCCUUGCCGAGGAGGCUGCAUGGAAGUACGCAAAUGAUAAUGGAUUAGAAAUAAUUACAAUAAACCCAACAAUGGUCAUCGGUCCCCUGUUGCAGCCUACACUGAAUACUAGCACAGAAGCAAUAUUGAAGUUUAUAAAUGGUUCGCAAGCAUGA
Molecule: ribosomal RNA, 657 nt
Filed under: Triticum aestivum (bread wheat)
Lineage: Eukaryota; Viridiplantae; Streptophyta; Magnoliopsida; Poales; Poaceae
Description: partial small subunit ribosomal RNA
Source: RNAcentral